UACGUAGGUGGCAAGCGUUAUCCGGAUUUACUGGGUGUAAAGGGCGUGUAGGCGGGACUGCAAGUCAGAUGUGAAAAUUAUGGGCUCAACCCAUAACCUGCAUUUGAAACUGUAGUUCUUGAGUGAUGGAGAGGCAGGCGGAAUGCGUGGUGUAGCGGUGAAAUGCAUAGAUAUCACGCAGAACUCCGAUUGCGAAGGCAGCAUACCGGCGCCCAACUGACGCUGAAGCACGAAAGCGUGGGUAUCGAACAGG
RNAcentral lists this ribosomal RNA (253 nucleotides) under uncultured bacterium. Its description in RNAcentral is "partial 16S ribosomal RNA". It matches the Rfam family "Bacterial small subunit ribosomal RNA", at positions 524 to 776 of the family's 1533-position model. The record is from RNAcentral.